RNAcentral lists this non-coding RNA (533 nucleotides) under Oryza rufipogon (brownbeard rice). RNAcentral describes it as "Eukaryotic large subunit ribosomal RNA". It matches the Rfam family "Eukaryotic large subunit ribosomal RNA", at positions 24 to 664 of the family's 3401-position model. The record is from Rfam by way of RNAcentral. Lineage: Eukaryota; Viridiplantae; Streptophyta; Magnoliopsida; Poales; Poaceae.
CCCGCUGAGUUUAAGCAUAUAAAUAAGCGGAGGAGAAGAAAUUUACUAGGAUUCCCCUAAUAACCGAAUUGUAGUCUGGAUUAGAGUCCUCAGCGACGGACCGAGCCCAACUCCCAUGGGAAGGGGCACCUGGGAGGGUGAGAGCCCCAUUCGGCAUAGACCCGGUCGCCCCAUGAGGCGCCGUCAACGAGAUUGGUUGUUUGGGAAUGCAGCCCAAAUCGGGCGGUAAACUCCGUCCAAGGCUAAAUACAGCGAGAGAUCGAUAGCAAACAAGCACCACGAGGGAAAGAUGAAAAUGACAUUGAAAAGAGAGUCAAAAGGUGCUUGAAAUCGCCGGGAGAGAAGCAGAUGAGGGCCGACGAUGCGCCCUGGCCGUAUGCAGAACGGCUUCGGCUGGGCUACGAAUUGGCUCCGGGGGGGGGCUGUUUUUUGGCCUCCGGUAGCCAUCGUCGGCGCAGCCGGUCACCGCGCCCCUCGGGGCACUGCGUUGCAACGGCCUGCAGGCUCCCCAUCCAACCUGUCUUGAAACACGG